Molecule: ribosomal RNA, 433 nt
Filed under: uncultured bacterium
Lineage: Bacteria
Description: partial 16S ribosomal RNA
Rfam family: Bacterial small subunit ribosomal RNA
Source: RNAcentral
AGCGAACGCUGGCGGCAGGCUUAACACAUGCAAGUCGAGCGGACCUUUCGGGGUCAGCGGCGGACGGGUGAGUAACGCGUGGGAACGUGCCUUCCGGUUCGGAAUAACCCUGGGAAACUAGGGCUAAUACCGGAUACGCCCUUAUGGGGAAAGGUUUACUGCCGGAAGAUCGGCCCGCGUCUGAUUAGCUAGUUGGUGGAGUAACGGCCUACCAAGGCGACGAUCAGUAGCUGGUCUGAGAGGAUGAUCAGCCACACUGGGACUGAGACACGGCCCAGACUCCUACGGGAGGCAGCAGUGGGGAAUAUUGGACAAUGGGCGCAAGCCUGAUCCAGCCAUGCCGCGUGAGUGAUGAAGGCCUUAGGGUUGUAAAGCUCUUUUAUCCGGGACGAUAAUGACGGUACCGGAGGAAUAAGCCCCGGCUAACUUCGUG